This 758-nucleotide ribosomal RNA is filed under the name uncultured bacterium. Its description in RNAcentral is "bacterial SSU rRNA". It matches the Rfam family "Bacterial small subunit ribosomal RNA", at positions 48 to 797 of the family's 1533-position model. The record is from RNAcentral.
CUUACACAUGCAGUCGAGCGGUAGCGCAGGAGAGCUUGCUCUCUGGGUGACGAGCGGCGGACGGGUGAGUAAUGUCUGGGAAACUGCCUGAUGGAGGGGGAUAACUACUGGAAACGGUAGCUAAUACCGCAUAACGUCGCAAGACUAAAGAGGGGGACCUUCGGGCCUCUUGCCAUCAGAUGUGCCCAGAUGGGAUUAGCUAGUAGGUGGGGUAAUGGCUCACCUAGGCGACGAUCCCUAGCUGGUCUGAGAGGAUGACCAGCCACACUGGAACUGAGACACGGUCCAGACUCCUACGGGAGGCAGCAGUGGGGAAUAUUGCACAAUGGGCGCAAGCCUGAUGCAGCCAUGCCGCGUGUGUGAAGAAGGCCUUCGGGUUGUAAAGCACUUUCAGCGAGGAGGAAGGUGGUGAGCUUAAUACGUUCAUCAAUUGACGUUACUCGCAGAAGAAGCACCGGCUAACUCCGUGCCAGCAGCCGCGGUAAUACGGAGGGUGCAAGCGUUAAUCGGAAUUACUGGGCGUAAAGCGCACGCAGGCGGUUUGUUAAGUCAGAUGUGAAAUCCCCGGGCUCAACCUGGGAACUGCAUUUGAAACUGGCAAGCUAGAGUCUCGUAGAGGGGGGUAGAAUUCCAGUGUAGCGGUGAAAUGCGUAGAGAUCUGGAGGAAUACCGGUGGCGAAGGCGGCCCCCUGGACGAAGACUGACGCUCAAGUGCGAAAGCGUGGGGGAGCAACAGGAUUAGAUACCCUGGUAGUCCA